Canis lupus familiaris (dog) is the source of this 1957-nucleotide long non-coding RNA. RefSeq lists it as uncharacterized. NCBI's taxonomy places the organism in Eukaryota, Metazoa, Chordata, Mammalia, Carnivora, Canidae. The record is from RefSeq and is a predicted model, not a curated record. The transcript is spliced from 7 exons.
ACUGUGAUGCUGUUUGAUCAUGUGGUUAAGGUAGCGACCACCAGAUCUCACCAUUAUAAAGCUUCUUCCUUCAGUUACCCCAAAGACCAGAGCUGCAUGCUUAAUUUCAUUCUUGGAUUAAGAGUUGAUAACUUGGGACCUUUGGACCAACACAGCGUAAGAAAAUGGACAUACCAAUCAUCCAUCCAAGAUCUGGAACUCAGGACAAUUGAGGCAGCUGGUAAGAGGUUCCCUAUGCAUGUUCAUUGACAUCCUACUACACUGUAAGAAGAGAGAGAGAGACAAAGGAUCUGAUCCGCUCCUGGGAAAAAAACAAAAGUACACCAUUGAAAUUCUGGACAAGGCUGCCAGAACCUAACAGGCAAGGACAUGGACUCUGCUAUUCCCGAAUAGGAGUUGCUAAAUGCUGAUAAAGACUUUGAUAAAGCAAUACUCACUACAGAUUUGCAUUUUCCUGAGGGAGUGGAAGUGGACAAUUUCUGCUUGCAGAUGGAUACCUAUGGCCAAGAGAACUGGAUCUUCAAAUGGCUUUUCUGCAUUAUUAUUAGGAAGCCAUUGCUGACAUGUCCAGCCCACUGUAAUUAGUACCCUUCAAGAGCCCCAGCAUACGGUCCCAGUUGCUACUAGCAGCGUCCUGUAAGCUUCACUGCAGCCAGAAGAAUAGAAGUGUAGAAAGAGCCUCGGUUUUCCAGGUUUCGGGGACACUGACCACAUUGUACACUACAACUGACCACCUUUGGACUUCAAAAGCACACAUCUCCUUGGUAUUCAAACCGCCUUGAGUCAGGCAGUCAACAAAUUCUGUCCAGGCCAUCUUCUCGUCUCCAGUCAAGCCACAUUCAACACCUCAACCUGUAUUUGUCCAGCCCAGGAGAUCAUCAACUCAUGUCUGGAUUGCAGUCAUUGUCGCUGACUCACCUCUCUGCUUCUACUUUUACACCUAGAGUCUGUUCUACUCAUAACAGGCAGGUAGUCUUUGUAAACCAUGGAUCAGAUCAUGUCAUUCUCUUGCUCAAACAUUCCAAUAACUCCCCAUAAAAUGUAGAGUAAAAUUGGAAUUCCUCACUAUGGCCCAUGGCUAAAUUAUCAGGUUCCUGCCCCUCUAUGAUCCCCUCCUACCUGCUGCAUAGUAGACACAUGAGCCUCCUGGCUCUUUCUCUUGCCAAUCAUUCCUCUGCCUCAGCGCCUGCCCUUGCAUUUGGUUAUCCCUUUGUCUGGAGCCCUCCUCCCCACUGUCCACCCCUACUCCCAAAUGUAUUCACAGUUUCUUGCUCUCUUCUUGUUCUCUGCACAAAUGACACUGCCCACAGAAGCCUUCCCUGAUCACCUGCUCUCUCUCCAACCCAUCAUGUUACAACAUUUAAGCGAUUGAUACUACUUGUUCAUUUGCUAGUGAAAUAUCGGCCUCUGCACCAGCAUGAAAGUGCCAUAAAAAGAGAAAAUUUGACUCUUUAAUUUUUUUAUUUCCUAAAGUGGAUGCUCAACAAGUAUUUGACCAAAAAAAGGCAGAGGGGGAGGAAUAGGAAGAAAGGAGAGGAAGUAUCUGGGCACCUCAGUGUGAAUGAGUUUAACAGAUUAUGUUUGCUAUCUGGAUUUUUCUCAUCGCUAAGUCAGUGCAACUGUCACCUCCUUACUGAAGCCUUCUAUGACUACCAACCUGAAGGAGAACUGCUUUCCCCAGCCACUCUUAAUUCUCAUUCGCCUGUUUUAGUUUCUUCAGAGCACAUAGGACUAUCUGAAAUUAUCUGUCAACUGUAUUUUUCUCACUAAAAUGAAAGCUCUAACCUUGUCAAUUUUGUUCCCCCUUCAAGGCCUAGAUAAUGCCAGGCAUAGUGUUGAUAGUCCUAAAUAUAUAUUGAAUGAAUCAAUCAAUCAAUAAGCCAAAUGACUAAAUAAAUCAUUCCUUUGCAGAAGACACCACAGAACAUAAAAUAAGAAAAUGUGGACAGCAACAGAA